GGAUGCGGAUAAAUUCUCACGUCUUUUCUCAUCCAUUCUAGCCAGAUCUAUUCUGAUUGGCUAAUAGCCCUUUCCCAUUAGACCAAUCCUGGCCACUCACGGUCCCCAUAGCAACCUGUAAACUCAACAUUGAUCAGUUAUUUUGUGCUGAUCGCAGGGUUGUCGAGAAAGUGUCCUUUCCUUUAAGCCAUCUUGGCGCCCUCCCCUCUGAGCUGCUCCAGAUGAUCAACCCCCGGACAAGUAAGAGUGGCCGGAUAUACAGUCCAGGUGUGCUUCUCGGUAACUGGUUUGAAGAUGUGUGCUUAGAAGAGGAAUCAUUGAAAGAUUUUUUAUAUAAAAGAGAAAAUGGGGAACUGCUAAUCCAGAAAUCACGAAGACUGAAAGAUUCGCUUUACAAGAAGGAGCAGCUUUCCAUUUCAAAAGAUGGGUAUAUUCAUUUUGGAGACACGGUUCUAUUUCUGAACCUCAACAUCGUCAGGCUCCCAGAGGAAAAAGCUCUCAUUAUGGGUGGAAAUCUGUCCUUGGCUGUGAAUCCCGAUAUAUCGACUCUGUACACUGGUGAUAAUUUGUCAGCUCCAUGUGACUUGAGUGCAAUCGAACACGUGAACCCCAUUGGGCGGAAUGCAUUUCGGAUUUUAAGCCUCGAAGGAGAAGCCAUGGGGGAACCUGUUAGAUUUGGGCAGAAUUUUGGCCUAGGAACAGCUGGUGGAUUUCAGGAUAAAAUGCUGUUUAUGUCCAGCGACCACAAAUCGUUUCAGAAUAUGGCCAAGAAAUCUUCUCUCCAGCCUGUCUUCAUGACAGAUGAACUUUCCUACCUGUGUUCCUGGCAAAUUAUCUUCUUGGAUCCACAGUUACGCAUGGAAUAUGAAGGUUUGCCAAUCCCUGCAAAUACAAAAGUUGUCAUCGUUCACACCCAUACAAAUCAGGCACUCGCAGUUCCCAGGACCUUCUGGAUAAGGACAUAUUUUGGGAAAGAAUGCGAAAUCAACUGCCACACCUAUCUGGAUUCCCACAAAGCUGAAGAGAGCAAGAACCACUGGUUAAUAGUCACGGGGAAUCCUAGCGAUGAUUCGACGACCAUGUUUAAUAGGCCAAAGCCUCCGUCAGAGGAGACUAGAGCACAAAAUAGGGAAUGCCUAUGAAAAAUCCUUGGAAUGGACAGUUAAACUUCCGGCUUUCGUGAAAGAAAAACAGGAGAAGAAACUAACAGCAUGAUGAUGAUGAUGAUGAAGAAGAAGAGGAGGAGGAGGAGGAGAACGAAGGAGGGAUUAAAGCAGGAAAACAAAGCAGUUUAGAAAGACAAAUGUUUGGAGGAAUAUUCCAGGACAGAAUUCAUGGAAACAGAAGAACCCUACCCAUCCCCCUUUUACUCAUGUCAAUCAUCUGCCUUGCUGUCAAAAAAAAAAAAAAGAGGAAAAGAUGUGGAACUCCCUGCCUCAGGAAAGCAGCUGAACCAUUCUCCACUCAUUCCUUUCUUAGGAAGGCUUUCGUUCUACUUGUGGACUUCAACUCCCAGAAUUCCUCAGCCAGGUCUCCAAACUUGGCCACUUUUAAGACUUGUACACUUCAACUCCCAGAAUUCCCUAGCCAGCAUGGCUGGCUGAGGGAUUCUGGAAGUUGAAGUCCACAAGUCUUAAAGUGGCCAAGUUUGGAGACCACUGUUCUAUAGGCCAAGGCCAUUGUGAUGGCACGUGACCUGCUCCAACCACAAUCUUCUUUUCUGUAAUAUUUUUUAUUUCGGUUUUGUCUCCCCCCUUUUUUAACUGUUUUACAUUUCCCCUGGAAUUUUGUCAGCUCUCCUGGGCGGUUGUGUUGUCAGCCCUGGAAGGACUGGAUAGAAAUUUUUUCAGAUAAAAAUUCCAGAAACAUGCCUCAAGGAACAUACCUGAAAGAAGUCUGUGGCUGUCUAUGCUCUCUGUCUCUGAGAUCUUCUAAAGCCAACAUUUCCGUCUUGGACCGAAAAACCCACAAGUGGCCAAGGAGUCUGGAGUGGGGGAAGCGAGAAGCUGUUGGAGGAAAGCUUCUCUCAGUCUUUUCUGAACUUGGAGGCCUCUUCCGUAAAUGAUUCAUUCAAAAAUAAAAAAACCUGGAAAGCA
This is an RNA transcript of Ahaetulla prasina, 2096 nucleotides long. It is a transcript of the gene named cilia and flagella associated protein 161, with no coding region annotated. The transcript has 8 exons. NCBI's taxonomy places the organism in Eukaryota, Metazoa, Chordata, Lepidosauria, Squamata, Colubridae. The record is from RefSeq and is a predicted model, not a curated record.